GACGAACGCUGGCGGCGUGCCUAAUACAUGCAAGUAGAUCGCUGAAGGAGGAGCUUGCUUCUCUGGAUGAGUUGCGAACGGGUGAGUAACGCGUAGGUAACCUGCCUGGUAGCGGGGGAUAACUAUUGGAAACGAUAGCUAAUACCGCAUAAGAGUAGAUGUUGCAUGACAUUUGCUUAAAAGGUGCAAUUGCAUCACUACCAGAUGGACCUGCGUUGUAUUAGCUAGUUGGUGGGGUAACGGCUCACCAAGGCGACGAUACAUAGCCGACCUGAGAGGGUGAUCGGCCACACUGGGACUGAGACACGGCCCAGACUCCUACGGGAGGCAGCAGUAGGGAAUCUUCGGCAGUGGACGGAAGUCUGACCGAGCAACGCCGCGUGAGUGAAGAAGGUUUUCGGAUCGUAAAGCUCUGUUGUAAGAGAAGAACGAGUGUGAGAGUGGAAAGUUCACACUGUGACGGUAUCUUACCAGAAAGGGACGGCUAACUACGUG
Molecule: ribosomal RNA, 495 nt
Filed under: uncultured bacterium
Lineage: Bacteria
Description: partial 16S ribosomal RNA
Rfam family: Bacterial small subunit ribosomal RNA
Source: RNAcentral